RNAcentral lists this long non-coding RNA (665 nucleotides) under Salmo salar (Atlantic salmon). RNAcentral's name for it is "lncRNA (ENSSSAG00000089229.1)". The record is from RNAcentral. Lineage: Eukaryota; Metazoa; Chordata; Actinopteri; Salmoniformes; Salmonidae.
CAAGAGAUUCAUAAACUUAUAAAAUGUUUUGUACAUUUUUAGAAAGAUAUUUGCAAGUAAAAAUUUGAUUUAUGCAGCUCUGUGGGCAGGACCUUUUACUCCUGACCAAUCAGUUCCCUCUGUUAAAACCACAACCGCCUAACCAUUGGCUGGAUUGUUCCAUCGAUCAAAUCUCAGGAAGUAGCUCCCCACAUGAGCAAGAGAGGAUAAGGUGGAGAGGGAGUAAGAUCACUAGAAAGCCGCAUGCUGCCAGACCACCAAAGGACCCUAGAGGUUGAAGAACAUCCCCAACACCCAGACUGACCUAAAGAACUUGGGAACCUCCCAGACACCAGGAGAAUCAUCUUGUUCUUGGUGUUUAUUCACAAGGUUUGUCAUGAUUUCCAGGAGCCUAGUGGAGUUGGAUACAACAUACUCCAAGGCAGGACAUUUCCCUGCAUCCAGGUUAAGAAAUGGUCAGAUACAGCAAAUGUCACUGCAAAAAAAAACAUUCUGCCAACACCUCCAAAGACAUUUGAUCAAGUUGGCAGUACAUUGCUAUUUCCUUUACAUACGGUCUUGGCCUAAUUCUAAUACUUCCAACGUACACAGCAAAUAAGGGCGUUAUUGUCACCAUAAAAGGUGACUGAUGGAGUCUUAAUGCCCUUUCCCACACACAGUUUUAC